Molecule: long non-coding RNA, 479 nt
Filed under: Numida meleagris (helmeted guineafowl)
Lineage: Eukaryota; Metazoa; Chordata; Aves; Galliformes; Numididae
Description: lncRNA (ENSNMEG00000014645.1)
Source: RNAcentral
GUCAAAAGCAUCAUCUGCUCAGAACAGUGACUAAAUGUAUUUCAGCACUGAAACUAAUGAACCAAGGCUGACACCCUCAGAGUCACAAAGGAAUGAAAUUGUAGGUGGGAAGGAGGGAAACUUCUGCUCUGAAGUACAGCGUUUCCCCCUUUUAUUCCUCUCAGGUGAUCUGUCUUAUUCCAAGUCUCUGGACUUCUGAAGUGCUUGAAUCCAGCCAUCGUCGAGAACAGUUCUACAAUAUGGGCAAAUGUGAGCUUGGUUAUAUCUUCACAGCCACAAAGAAUUAUCUUGUCGUGUAGGCACACCUACUGCAGAGCAGAUGACUUUCCCUUUGUCACUUUGAAUCACUUGCUCUUUCAAAAGGUAAGGACAUCACAGUCCAGAACUCUUAGCCAUUUGCAGCCAAUGGUGUUGACCUACCUUGUCUUUGCAAGCACACCCUGGUCACCAAGUUGAAAAAUACCGUAAGGCAAAAUAAA